UAGAUACCCUGGUAGUCCACGCCGUAAACGAUGAGUGCUAAGUGUUAGGGGGUUCCGCCCUUUAGUGCUGCAGCUAACGCAUUAAGCACCCCGCCUGGGGAGUACGGUCGCAAGACUGAAACUCAAAGGAAUUGACGGGGGCCCGCACAAGCGGUGGAGCAUGUGGUUUAAUUCGAAGCAACGUGAAGAACCUUACCAGGUCUUGACAUCCUCUGACAACCCUAGAGAUAGGUUUUUCCCUUGUGGGACAGAGUGACAGGUGGUGCAUGGUUGUCGUCAGCUCGUGUCGUGAGAUGUUGGGUUAAGUCCCGCAACCAGCGCAACCCUUGAUAUUAGUUGCCAGCAUUCAGUUGGGCACUUUAAGGUGAAAGCCGGUGACAAACCGGAGGAAGGCCGGAUCCCUCAAAUCAUCCAACCCCCAUAACCCGGGAAACACACAAACACAUCCCCUUCCCAAAGGGUUCGAGACCGCAAGGUUUAGCCAAUCCCACAAAUCCGUUCUCAGUUCGGAUCGCGGUCUGCAUCGAGAGUGUGAUC
This 537-nucleotide ribosomal RNA is filed under the name Bacillus aerophilus. RNAcentral's name for it is "bacterial SSU rRNA". It matches the Rfam family "Bacterial small subunit ribosomal RNA", at positions 779 to 1323 of the family's 1533-position model. Lineage: Bacteria; Bacillati; Bacillota; Bacilli; Caryophanales; Bacillaceae. The record is from RNAcentral.